CUCCCGACUGUUUACCAAAAACACAGCACUCUGCUAACUCGUAAGAGGAUGUAUAGGGUGUGACGCCUGCCCGGUGCUCGAAGGUUAAUUGAUGGGGUUAGCAUUAGCGAAGCUCUUGAUCGAAGCCCGAGUAAACGGCGGCCGUAACUAUAACGGUCCUAAGGUAGCGAAAUUCCUUGUCGGUUAAAUACCGACCUGCAUGAAUGGCGUAACGAGAUGGGAGCUGUCUCAAAGAGGGAUCCAGUGAAAUUGUAGUGGAGGUGAAAAUUCC
RNAcentral lists this ribosomal RNA (271 nucleotides) under Campylobacter coli. Its description in RNAcentral is "partial 23S ribosomal RNA". It matches the Rfam family "Bacterial large subunit ribosomal RNA", at positions 1793 to 2063 of the family's 2925-position model. RNAcentral also lists the same sequence under 1 other name. The record is from RNAcentral. Lineage: Bacteria; Pseudomonadati; Campylobacterota; Epsilonproteobacteria; Campylobacterales; Campylobacteraceae.